This 651-nucleotide long non-coding RNA is filed under the name Physcomitrium patens. RNAcentral's name for it is "long non-coding RNA (PPAT_LNC010059)". Lineage: Eukaryota; Viridiplantae; Streptophyta; Bryopsida; Funariales; Funariaceae. The record is from RNAcentral.
GUAAAUUCGUCUUGGAUCUUGUGAUAUCUUGAAAACCCUAACUGUAGCUUCAAACCCUAGCUUUUUUACACCCGUGUACAACUUCCUUCAUAUCUCACAAAGUAAUUAUUCAAAUACUAUGAAACUUUGAUCUAAAGCUUCUUAACCCAAUUACACACACUUGUGGAAUUUUUGAGCCAAAAAUUCGUCCAGAAACUCAAGAUAUGGCUUCACCCACAACUAGCAACAAAACGAUAUACUUACUGCCUUCAAAUUACAAGUGCUGUCUUCAACGCCUCAUAACUCCUUCACCCAAUCUUAGAAUUCACUAUACAAUAAAUAGAAUGUGUAGCCGAAAAAAUGCUCCCUCCAAAUCCAGUCGCCGAUCUUCCGUUGCUCUCCGUAUUCGUAUGUGAUGCCCAAAAGUAGUGACAGUAGGUACGAAAUUGACACCUUAUCUUUGAACAUUCAUAUCUUUUCCAUAAAAACUCGAAAUCACACAAAAUCUUCACCCAAAUUAUACCCAAAACCCUAAACCUUCUGACCCUAGCCUCAAAAGCUCGAAUGGCCUCGAAAAAAGAACCCUAAUUCCUAAUAUGGCCUCGGGCAGCCUCCUCAAAGCCCAUUGGGCAUGGUAUUCGACCAAUAGGGAUGAAGUUCUUCACCCCUUGC